CUGCUCAAUGAAAUUUAAAUAGCUGCAGUAUAUUAACUGUACAAAGGUAGCAUAAUAAAUAGUCUCUUAAUUGGAGUCUUCAAUGAAGGAUUGAAUGAAAUACAAACAGACUCAAAUAUUUACUGAACUUAAUAUUUAAGUUAAAAAUCUUAAAUAUAUUAAAGACGAGAAGACCCUUUAGAAAUUUUUAAUUAAUUUAUUUAAUUAAUUAAUACAAUUUUUACAUAAAUUAAUUAUUUAAUUGGGGCAAUUUUAAAAUAAAAAAAACUUUUAAUUUUUUUCCAUUAAUUUAUGACUAAUAUAACUAAAUAUGGACUAAAAAAUUAAUUACCUUAGGGAUAACAGCAUAAUUUUUUUUUAUAGUUCAUAUUUAUAAAAAAGUUUAUGACCUCGAUGUUGAAUUAAGAU
This 408-nucleotide ribosomal RNA is filed under the name Neoneurus mantis. RNAcentral describes it as "partial 16S ribosomal RNA". The record is from RNAcentral. Lineage: Eukaryota; Metazoa; Arthropoda; Insecta; Hymenoptera; Braconidae.